GAUGAACGCUAGCGGCAGGCCUAACACAUGCAAGUCGAGGGGUAGCAGGAUUAAGCUUGCUUAAUUGCUGACGACCGGCGCACGGGUGCGUAACGCGUAUGCAACCUACCUUAUACUGGGGUAUAGCCCGGAGAAAUUCGGAUUAAUCCCCCAUAGUACUAAUGAAUCGCAUGGUUUAUUAGUUAAAGCAUUGCGGUAUAAGAUGGGCAUGCGUCCUAUUAGCUAGAUGGUGAGGUAACGGCUCACCAUGGCUACGAUAGGUAGGGGGCCUGAGAGGGUGGUCCCCCUCACUGGUACUGAGACACGGACCAGACUCCUACGGGAGGCAGCAGUGAGGAAUAUUGGUCAAUGGGCGCAAGCCUGAACCAGCCAUGCCGCGUGCAGGAAGAAUGCCCUAUGGGUUGUAAACUGCUUUUAUUUGGGAAUAAACCUCUUUACGUGUAGAGAGCUGAAGGUACCAAAUGAAUAAGCACCGGCUAACUUCGUGCCAGCAGCCGCCGUAA
This 503-nucleotide ribosomal RNA is filed under the name uncultured bacterium. Its description in RNAcentral is "partial 16S ribosomal RNA". It matches the Rfam family "Bacterial small subunit ribosomal RNA", at positions 28 to 523 of the family's 1533-position model. The record is from RNAcentral.